AGUGAACGCUGGCGGUAGGCCUAACACAUGCAAGUCGAACGGCAGCACAGGAGAGCUUGCUCUCUGGGUGGCGAGUGGCGGACGGGUGAGGAAUACAUCGGAAUCUACUCUGUCGUGGGGGAUAACGUAGGGAAACUUACGCUAAUACCGCAUACGACCUACGGGUGAAAGCAGGGGACCUUCGGGCCUUGCGCGAUUGAAUGAGCCGAUGUCGGAUUAGCUAGUUGGCGGGGUAGAGGCCCACCAAGGCGACGAUCCGUAGCUGGUCUGCGAGGAUGAUCAGCCACACUGGAACUGAGACACGGUCCAGACUCCUACGGGAGGCAGCAGUGGGGAAUAUUGGACAAUGUGCGCAAGCCUGAUCCAGCCAUACCGCGUGGGUGAAGAAGGCCUUCGGGUUGUAAAGCCCUUUUGUUGGGAAAGAAAUCCAGCUGGCUAAUACCCGGUUGGGAUGACGGUACCCAAAGAAUAAGCACCGGCUAACUUCGUGCCAGCCGCCGCCGUAA
This 506-nucleotide ribosomal RNA is filed under the name uncultured bacterium. RNAcentral describes it as "partial 16S ribosomal RNA". It matches the Rfam family "Bacterial small subunit ribosomal RNA", at positions 29 to 523 of the family's 1533-position model. The record is from RNAcentral.